Molecule: long non-coding RNA, 1266 nt
Organism: Brassica napus (rape)
Lineage: Eukaryota; Viridiplantae; Streptophyta; Magnoliopsida; Brassicales; Brassicaceae
Exons: 6
Source: RefSeq, a predicted model, not a curated record
CAUUGCUCUUGCAAUGGCUUCCACUGAUUUUAUGCUUCAUCAAUUCUGAUUUGAUUUUCUCUUUUUUUUUUCCACACCAGGGGUUGAUUUUGGGAGCACUUUUCUUGCAGCCUAGCUUCCUGGUAAGGGUUGAGGUAAUGUAAGUCUUUGCUCGGUUUGGUUUAACGAUGUGGGGGUGAGGCUCUUAUUUUUGUUGCAUAUCUAUUCUCCUCUUAGACCUUGUGAGGAAUAGUAAAUUUUUUUGGUCAGAUUAGUUGAGCUUAGAAUCAUAAUUAUAUUUUCUCUGGCCGUAAUGUUCAUUACUUAGUGAAUGCCUUGGUAAUUUAUUAUAACUUUAUGUAUUUGUUGUGACUAAACUGGUUGAUAAACUUUGGAAUUAUAGGAAACAGAUGGUCUAAAGGAUGCAUUAGGCAAUGAGAUACUGUAGCUUAAGGUAUUUUCUCUAUCCUGAUUCUCAAAUUGAUUUUGGAGACUGUACCUAUAUUUUCCUUUGGCUGUGUGUUCGACAGGAUCAACUUGGUUCAAGACAGAAGGCUAUUUCUUUCUUUGAGCGUGACAAUUCAAGCAACUAUCCGAUACCCGCCUACAUUGAGAUACCCACAGAUGGAACUGAGGAGUGGGAAAUUGACGUGAAACAGCUCCAAAUUGAAAAGAAAGUGGCAUCUUGGUUCGUAUGAGGGGAUCUGCACAGAGGCACUUAUUGCAGUCAGGAGGUUGCUAUCAAAUUUCUCAAACCUGAGCGUGUAAACGCGGAGAUGCUUAGAGAAUUUUCUCAGGAAGUUUAUAUUAUGAGGUUAAUGCAAUUAAUUUGAAUCAUGAUGUGGAAUGCAUAGUAAGAUUUGUUUACGGAGUAAGAUUUGUACGAUACAGAAUUGUCAAGGUUGCUGAUUUUGGAGUUGUCAGAGUACAGAUUGAAUCAGGGGUGAUGACAGCUGAAACAGGGACAUAUCGAUGGAUGGCUCCGGAGGUGAUUGAACACAAACCUUACAGUCACAAAGCAGACGUGUUCAGUUAUGGGAUAGUGAUAUGGGAACUUUUGACUGGUCAUAUCCCAUAUGCUUACUUGACUCCACUAUAAGCGGCUGUUGGCGUUGUUCAGAAGGGGCUUAGACCAAAGAUUCCAAAGAAGACACAUCCAAAAGUGAAGGGACUUCUACAGAGAUGCUGGAACCAAGACCCAAAAGACAGACCAGAGUUUGAGGAAAUCACAGAAAUGCUUCAACAUAUAAUGAUUGAGGUAAACGUCGUACCGUGAUGAUGAUCCGA